This is a long non-coding RNA of Homo sapiens (human), 2569 nucleotides long. RefSeq lists it as uncharacterized. The transcript has 3 exons. The record is from RefSeq and is a predicted model, not a curated record. NCBI's taxonomy places the organism in Eukaryota, Metazoa, Chordata, Mammalia, Primates, Hominidae.
ACUCACUAACUCCAGCAACAGACAUAAGAGUAGUCAGCCAUGAGUUGGGUAUUGGUGAUUCUCACAACUAACUCUGGCUCCAGGAGAAAGAGCAGGAAUCAGUCUCAAUUGAAGCUGGAGUUCAAGAAGAUUUCAGACACAUUCUGAGUCCCGAUAAAGGCUGAAAGGGAAAUAUUUGAAUGCGGGGGAAGGUAGGGAUGAAGAGUGGAAAUGGAGCCAAAUAUACUGUUUCUGUCUUUGUUUUAACUGUUUAAUUCUUAAUUGUCUUCUUCUGGUUUGAGGAAGCGCUGUUAUAUACAUAAAUACAAGAUUAAUCUUAGCUGGUCUACUGCAAUCCUAUGUUUAUUUCCAGGGAUGCUUGGAGCCAUUGUUGUCUGGAGGGAGGACUGACUUAUUUCCAGAGAUUCCUGGAGACACUGCUGGAACCUUAGCCAAAUCAGAAUAAGCUCAACUAACUGGUGACAAAUAUUCCUGUGCUAGGACCUGAGACAGGCCAAGUGAGAGAUCUGUAGUAGUUUAUUAGCUUUGUUCAUUAAAAAAACAACAAAAAAUUCCAGAUUGGUGUUUUUUACCUAGUUUCUACUAUGUUCUCUUUGUUUCUUCUGUUCGCUUUUGUCAUGCAGCCCAGUUUUGGUUAUGAGACCAGACAGAUAUGAAAGACCACUCCUUGGACAAGACUGUGAUUCUCCAGAGCUCAAGUUUUCUUGUAUAUAUCUUAGUAGUUCAUGAUUCAGAUUAAAAUCGCAUCCUAAUCAAUUGAGAAAUGAUCCUGGAAGCUGGGUCUGAAGGUCUUGGACUUUUCUGAGGUUUUCUGUGCUUUCCCCCCACCUACUUUAGAGUAUCCUUUACUUUAUUAAGACUGUACUCUGUGGAGUCUCAUGAGUCGUUUCAGUUGUUCAGCCCUGUGUAUUGAUGCAUCAUGUUAGUUUUGUGUUCACUCUGGAAUGUGAUACAGUAAAAGGUCUAUAUAUUUUUUUCAACUCAUCUAAAUUGUCUUAGGUCUAGCUGGACUUGAUCAAAUGGCAAUUGAGAAAGUCAGGCUUUAAGUAAGCCAGAUAUCUGGCUUUUGAUUCUCCUCUUUCUCACUGUCUUCUCCUCAUUCCCCUUAGAUAUAGAAUACCCUCAUAAUUUUUCUAAUAUCCUCCCAUCAAUGCCUUCUGUGGAUUGCUCUAAGAGACUUCCCUAAUUCUUUUCUACCCCAUUUUCAUUAAAUAAAAUUAGUUUCCAGCCCUCUGCAGCUACAAGACUGUGUUUUUACAAAACUGCUAUGACGCAUCACAUCCUAUUAAAUCAUUCUCUCACCUGAUAGACUGUGAAAUCUGUGAAAACAGAAGUCCCGUCUUACUCAUUUCUAAUUCUUAGCCCUGUCUUAUAAGAGCAGGAACUCUUUAAAUGCAUUAUCAAAGAAGUCAAUGAAUUAACAACUAGCUCUUUAUAGAUAAAGAAGUUCUUUUACUUUGAAGAGUUAUUCAAGUGUUGACCGACUGGCAACAUUAUCUCACAGGUGUAGUUGUAUUCCAAAUGUAACAAUGGAUAAAACCUUAAGCUAAAGUAAUGCUAUUUUAAUCGUGGCAUGUCACAUGUUGACAGACUCUAGGUAACUCAAGUGUUUGCAUAUGUUUUUAGUGGGGGCACCAGGGACUUUCAGAGAAACUUCAAAUGGAGACACAUAGAUUCUUUUGACCAUAAAUCCACUUUGGAACCCGGAAAUGUCAGUGAAUAUUCAUCUAGUUUAAGUUGGGGUCAAUUCUACCCUAAGUGAAAUCUCAUUAUUAUUUUUAUUGAGGUUAUUUUUAGCAUGGCACAGGUGGCCACCAUGGCAUGAUAGUCAGUCUAAAGCUCUGCCACCAAAUAGCUGCAUGACCAUGAGUCAGGUUGCUUGUGUGAAAUUUUCAUUUCCUUAUUUGCAAAAUAAAAGGUUGAAUUCCAUAAUCUCUGGUGUCUCUGUCAGUUGAAUAUUUCAUGUGACCAUGAAUACAUCAUUCAACCAGAUACACUUAACUAGAAAGAAGUGCUUUGUGUGAAAUCAGUGAGAUCAGUCACCUUUCACUGUCUUGGCAAAUGGAAGGAAGGAAUUGUACAUGAAAGAUUAACAAGUCACAUUUGAACUGGGAAAAAAAAAGAGUGACAUUUUCAGUUGUCAUUGUAUUUGGCCUAAAACAAUAUUACAGCAUAUUUGGUUCCUCCUGGAAUAUACUUACCCCAUUGACUUGGUAUUCUUUCUGAUAUCAUCCAAUUGUCUGAUUGCCCAUAAGGCUGAGAAAGAGACUACAUGGCAAAUUAGUAGCCAUCAUAAAGUCUAUGAAGUAGGCGAGUGACCUUUAUUUCCAUCCUGGCAGAGGACAAAAAUAAGAGCGUAUUUGUAAGAAAACUGAAUACGCCCAAAGCAGAUAAGUUGAUGUAUGAAAGGUACCUGGAAAUUAAUACUUCUUGAAAACGGUUACCACCAUGGAGGGAGCUGCAUCUUCCAUUCUUACUAAUAGAAAAUGAUCGUUUGCUUUGAAGCAGUUAACGGAGAUACAUAAAAAAAGACAGGAUCUCACUCUGUUACACAAGCUGGAGUGCAGUG